Molecule: ribosomal RNA, 1411 nt
Filed under: metagenome
Description: bacterial LSU rRNA
Rfam family: Bacterial large subunit ribosomal RNA
Source: RNAcentral
AAAAAUCCGGGGUUUCAAGGCCGAGAGCUGAUGACGAGUCGUCUUUUAGAUGACGAAGUGGUUGAUGCCAUGCUUCCAAGAAAAGCUUCUAAGCUUCAGGUAACCAGGAACCGUACCCCAAACCGACACAGGUGGUCGGGUAGAGAAUACCAAGGCGCUUGAGAGAACUCGGGUGAAGGAACUAGGCAAAAUGGCACCGUAACUUCGGGAGAAGGUGCGCCGGCUAGGGUGAAGGAUUUACUCCGUAAGCUCUGGCUGGUCGAAGAUACCAGGCCGCUGCGACUGUUUAUUAAAAACACAGCACUCUGCAAACACGAAAGUGGACGUAUAGGGUGUGACGCCUGCCCGGUGCCGGAAGGUUAAUUGAUGGGGUUAGCGCAAGCGAAGCUCUUGAUCGAAGCCCCGGUAAACGGCGGCCGUAACUAUAACGGUCCUAAGGUAGCGAAAUUCCUUGUCGGGUAAGUUCCGACCUGCACGAAUGGCGUAACGAUGGCGGCGCUGUCUCCACCCGAGACUCAGUGAAAUUGAAAUCGCUGUGAAGAUGCAGUGUAUCCGCGGCUAGACGGAAAGACCCCGUGAACCUUUACUGUAGCUUUGCACUGGACUUUGAGCCUGCUUGUGUAGGAUAGGUGGGAGGCUUUGAAGCGUGGACGCCAGUUCGCGUGGAGCCAUCCUUGAAAUACCACCCUGGCAUGCUUGAGGUUCUAACUCUGGUCCGUAAUCCGGAUCGAGGACAGUGUAUGGUGGGCAGUUUGACUGGGGCGGUCUCCUCCUAAAGAGUAACGGAGGAGUACGAAGGUGCGCUCAGACCGGUCGGAAAUCGGUCGCAGAGUAUAAAGGCAAAAGCGCGCUUGACUGCGAGACAGACACGUCGAGCAGGUACGAAAGUAGGUCUUAGUGAUCCGGUGGUUCUGUAUGGAAGGGCCAUCGCUCAACGGAUAAAAGGUACUCCGGGGAUAACAGGCUGAUACCGCCCAAGAGUUCAUAUCGACGGCGGUGUUUGGCACCUCGAUGUCGGCUCAUCACAUCCUGGGGCUGAAGCCGGUCCCAAGGGUAUGGCUGUUCGCCAUUUAAAGUGGUACGCGAGCUGGGUUUAGAACGUCGUGAGACAGUUCGGUCCCUAUCUGCCGUGGACGUUUGAGAUUUGAGAGGGGCUGCUCCUAGUACGAGAGGACCGGAGUGGACGAACCUCUGGUGUUCCGGUUGUCACGCCAGUGGCAUUGCCGGGUAGCUAUGUUCGGAAAAGAUAACCGCUGAAAGCAUCUAAGCGGGAAACUUGCCUCAAGAUGAGAUCUCACUGGGAACUUGAUUCCCCUGAAGGGCCGUCGAAGACUACGACGUUGAUAGGCUGGGUGUGUAAGCGUUGUGAGGCGUUGAGCUAACCAGUACUAAUUGCCCGUGAGGCUUGACC